RNAcentral lists this ribosomal RNA (497 nucleotides) under uncultured bacterium. Its description in RNAcentral is "partial 16S ribosomal RNA". It matches the Rfam family "Bacterial small subunit ribosomal RNA", at positions 28 to 507 of the family's 1533-position model. The record is from RNAcentral.
GAUGAACGCUGGCGGCGUGCCUAAUACAUGCAAGUCGAGCGAACGGACGAGAAGCUUGCUGCGCUGAUGUUAGCGGCGGACGGGUGAGUAACACGUGUAUAACCUACCUAUAAGACUGGUAUAACUUCGGGAAACCGUAGCUAAUACCGGAUAAUAUUUUGAACCGCAUGGUUCAAUAGUGAAAUACGGUCUUGCUGGCACUUAUAGAGGGAUCCGCGCUGCAUUAGAUAGUUGUGAAGUUAACGGCCUACCAAGGCAACGAUGCAUAGCCGACGUCAGAGGGUGAUAGGCCACCCUGGAACUGGGACAGGGUCAAGAGUCCUACGGGAGGCAGCAGUAGGGAAUCUUCCGCAAUGGGCGAAAGCAUGACGGAGUAACGCGGCGUGAGUGACGACGGCCUUGGGUUCGUAAAACUCUGUUACUAGGGAAGAACCUCUGUGUACGUAAAUGAGCCCAUCUUGACGGUAACUAAUAAGAAAGCAACGGCUAACUACGUG